AAAUAUUGGCCGGGGAGCUGGGAAAGCUGGCUGAGAGGGGGCCCUAGGGGUACCGACCCGUAAACCUGAUCUGGGUAAUGCCAGCGGAGGGAAAGAAUCUUCUAACUUG
This 109-nucleotide non-coding RNA is filed under the name Desulforamulus reducens. RNAcentral's name for it is "Desulfotomaculum reducens TPP sequence". It matches the Rfam family "TPP riboswitch aptamer (THI element)". Rfam says of the family: Vitamin B(1) in its active form thiamin pyrophosphate (TPP) is an essential coenzyme that is synthesised by coupling of pyrimidine and thiazole moieties in bacteria. The previously detected thiamin-regulatory element, thi box was extended, resulting in a new, highly conserved RNA secondary structure, the THI element, which is widely distributed in eubacteria and also occurs in some archaea. The record is from RNAcentral. Lineage: Bacteria; Bacillati; Bacillota; Clostridia; Eubacteriales; Peptococcaceae. RNAcentral also lists the same sequence under 1 other name.